Molecule: ribosomal RNA, 253 nt
Filed under: uncultured bacterium
Lineage: Bacteria
Description: partial 16S ribosomal RNA
Rfam family: Bacterial small subunit ribosomal RNA
Source: RNAcentral
UACGAAGGGGGCUAGCGUUGCUCGGAAUGACUGGGCGUAAAGAGCGUGUAGGCGGCCCGGUAAGUCCGCUGUAAAAGUCAAAGGCUCAACCUUUGAAUGUCAGUGGAUACUGCCGGGCUAGAGUCCGGAAGAGGCGAGUGGAACUCCUGGUGUAGCGGUGGAAUGCGCAGAUAUCAGGAAGAACACCAACGGCGAAGGCAGCUCGCUAGGACGGUACUGACGCUGAGACGCGAAAGCGUGGGGAGCGAACAGG